AGCUGCGUUUCUGUAUCCGUGCCAUGGGAAGUCUCCUGUCCUGUUUCCACUCUGCCUUCUCCAUAAAGCAGGCUGAUUAUCAGGGCCCUCACACAAGCCCAGCGUGGUAGCUGAUUAAGGCUUGACAAGCAAAAAGCAAACAGGAUUUCUAAUCAUGUGUCUCAUAGAAAUGGAGCCACAAAAACCCAAAGAAUUGCCAUUACACCCCAAGUCAUGCAAUUUAGAGCAACUCAGGAAAUAGGUGCACACAAGCAAACCAUGUGGUUAAAGCCUUUGGAACUGGUUUGAGCAAAGCUGUAGGUGAUUUGACAAAAUCAUCUGCAAAACCAGAUUUCUAACACCUCCCUGCUGUGUAUCUCAUUUCUGCUGAUGUGUGGUGCUUCAUAAGAUGGGGACGUUAAGCAUGCAGCAACUACAGUCAUUUGUUCUCAGAGCUCAGAAAUGUAUAUUUAAAAGCAGGCUGCUUUGGACAAUGCUUCGCUCAUUAAGACUCUUUUUAGGUGCAUUGUUUACUGUGUAAACCCUGAUUAAUUUACAGUUUUUCUUUUUGCCUGACUCAUAAUUACUCUAUGGAAAAUACAAUUUUGGAGAAUACAACAUUAACUACAUAGGAUUGGUAUUAACAGUCACGGACCCACUGAAGGCGAGUUUUACUGUUCGCUCAAUGAAUGUCCUUCAGUAUCUCUAAAUUAGAUGGAAAAGCAUCUAUGAUUUCAGGGCCCAUUUAAAUAAAUUAAAGCCAGAAAUGAGUGUGCUAACUUUGCAUGGAUCCAAACAUUUGCCACUGUUUUCCUGUCUUCCCUUUCUACCAUUAAAUUCAACCCGACCUUUAGAAUUUGUGUCCCCCAAGCAGAAGAUAGAUGAUUCCCGUGUAUCAACCUUGUAUUAAAUGCCUACCAUGCACUAAGCACUAGGAAAAUAGGGAGGAAACAACACCCUGGAUACUUUUCUCAAGUAGCUCUCAGUGCAGCGGGCUUAGCAUGGAAACAGAAGCAGCAAAACGUUGUGGGAAGUGUCUGUGUAACAUGCGGCAUGGCUGUUAUUUAAUCCCAAUUAAAAGGAUGAGAAAGUUGAGGUUUACUAAAGUUAAGGAACUCCCCUAGGUCCAUAGUUAGCAAGCGCUAGAGACAGAAUUCCAAACCAAAGCAGUCUGCUUGAAAAGCCCAGUUUUGUCCCACCCCUUCCCUAAGCAUUUGUUCAGAUGGGAGUGAACAAUGCAUAAAACUGGCUGUGGCAUUCGGCUGACCUGAGAUCUAGUGGUGGCCUUAUUCCCAGCAUGCAAACUCUCACUGACAUGCAAACCCUUGCUGACUACUUCAUAUGAGAAGGCAGCACCAUUCCUCUGUCAUGUAUGAAUGCAAUUUUCCUGAGACAUUUUUAUUUUCUGUUGCUUGUUUUUAAAUAAUUAAUGCCAUUGUAACAGCAGCCUCUCUUCAUUUAGGAGGGCAUUUCCACUCUGAAUUUCCAGUUCCAAACAUUUCAGUUUUCCACCAAGACAUCAUUCCUGGGUUUGGGAUUCCUGAAUUUUCUCCACACAGAGGUGACUGCUUUCAGUGGAAAACUUAGCGAAAUUGCAUUGUUCUCCCUGAAGUAUCUGUGUAACCAAAACAAUGUUACUGCUAUAUGACAUGUUGUAGGCAUUCUCAAUACAUUUGGAAAAUGCAAAAGUAACUGUGAUCUAACAUCUCAAACUGGCUAUGGAUUUAUUUUCCUGUGGUCAGGUCUGGACCAAAGAGAAACAAGAAAAGCUGGAGUCACACUACCAAAGGCCGAAGCUGAGCAACAGAGCUCUGGAGUCAGCUGCCUGGGUUCAGCAUGCAGCGCUGCCGUGGACGAUCUGUCUCUCUUGCAUAUAUGACUUACCAGUUUUACUUUCAGUCUCUCCAUUUCUAAUUAAAUGAGAUGCAGAAAUGCUGGUGCCUUGCUAUGAUGUUUGCAGUUAUUAUUUCUAGGAAAAAAAAUAUUAUUGUUACUCAGUAUCUGGUACAUCAAAACUAAGCCAGAAACGUUUAAAAAGAACAAAAGUAUCAUUUCUACUUAAUUCUCUAGCUACUUGGACAACUGGACUAUGCCCCUCCUUUCAAGGGAGGGCAAAGCAUUUCAGAAAAGAACUAAGUGCUAUUUCUCUGCUUCAGGAAUGUCUCCCGUAUGUAAAAGAAUGUGGCUUCAGGGAGUAGCAUGUGUUGUAAAGGUGGAUGGGUCUAACUUCAUGGACAGCUCUGACAUCCACUAGCUAUGCCACCUGAUGCAAACCACUUGGGCUGUCUGUAGUUUCGUUUAUCUUUCUGGAAUUGGUAAUAACAACCACCUGGCAAGAUCACUGUUAUGAAUACGGAGGAUCAAAGUUGUGAAGUUAUUUUGUAAAGUGAAAUGUUCUGAAAAUUGGAUUUUAACAGUGUCAGCGAAAAGUAGAUUUUUGACAUUUAUCAAGAGUUCAGCUAAUGAAAACAAGUAUGGAUAAUAGUUACAUAGAACUGUCUACUUUACUCAGUACUUUAGCAUAUGCUAUUAUAUUUAAUCUUCUUAAAAAGUAGAAAAUUAU
RNAcentral lists this long non-coding RNA (2542 nucleotides) under Homo sapiens (human). Its description in RNAcentral is "non-protein coding LINC01871:8". Lineage: Eukaryota; Metazoa; Chordata; Mammalia; Primates; Hominidae. The record is from RNAcentral.